AGGAAUGUAUUUAAUUAUAAUAACUAAGUUGCAUAUAGUAGGUGUCAUAUAUGACCAUUCUUG
Molecule: transfer RNA, 63 nt
Filed under: Tettigades opaca
Lineage: Eukaryota; Metazoa; Arthropoda; Insecta; Hemiptera; Cicadidae
Description: tRNA-Ala
Source: RNAcentral